This is an RNA transcript of Phasianus colchicus (ring-necked pheasant), 2611 nucleotides long. It is a transcript of the gene named solute carrier family 46 member 3, with no coding region annotated. Lineage: Eukaryota; Metazoa; Chordata; Aves; Galliformes; Phasianidae. The record is from RefSeq and is a predicted model, not a curated record.
GCGGGACCGCGCCGCGGGGAGAGCCGCCCUCGCCGCCCGCCGCUCGGUGUCGCGCAGUGCGGACUUAAACACGGCGCGGCGUGACCUCCGGGGGGACGGGGCGGGGAGCUGCGGACCGAGGGCAGGGGCGGCCGGCGGGGAUAGGGACGAGGCGGCGCUGGGGCGGGCGGGGGGUCGGGUGCCGCAGUCCUUCCUCCUGCGGGUUGGAUGGUGGCUUCCUUUCGUCCGAGCGAUCGUUGUGACGUUUUAUUUUUCUGUGCUGAAGCGAGUUAAAGGCGGGAUCCAGAAAUGAGGAAGGUUUUGCUCGUGGAGCCGGUCAUUUUCGUCUACGUAUUCGCAACUUCCCUGACGAGCCCGGUGGUGCAGCAGUUCAUUUACCGAAAGCUGUGGGAAGAGGAGUACAACUCCACCGCCAUCAGCAGCGACAACAGCAGUCACUGUGAGCGAAACAAGAGCAGCCCGACUUAUGUCAUGCAGAAGGGAGUUCAAGAAAAGACUUCUUUUUUUAACAUGCAGCUGGACUUAACAGGGGCAGUUCCCAGCCUGAUAGUUGCUUUUAUCAUUGUAGCUAAUGGGGAUCACCAGGGACGAAAAAAGUCUUUGGUUUUACCAUCGACUGGAGCUUUGAUUGCAGAUAUUUUCCUCACUAUAAUAUCAUACUUCUCCUUGCCAAUCUCUGUCCUGUUUUUGGUUACAUUUAUUUCAGGACUGUUUGGGAGUAUGGCAACUUUCCUUGGAGGAGGCUUUGCUUAUAUAGCAGAUCAGUGUCAUGAUGAGAAACAGAAAACAACACGAAUAGCUGUGGUUGAUUUAAUUUAUGGAGUUGUAUCUGGAUUGGCAGGACUGUCUUCUGGGUACUUUUUAAGAGAAAUGGGCUUUACAUGGACAUUUGUGACAGCAUCUCUACUUCAUGUUGUUAACAUUAUCUAUAUUACUUUUUUUCUGGAAGACACAGUGCACAUAUCUGAAUUCCAGCAACAGGCACCAUUAUCUUAUAAAGAAUAUCUAAAAGAAACAAUUUCUGGAGUGUACAUGCUUUUUAAAACUGCCCCUUCUAAAAAGAGAAUUUUAAUCAUUGUGUUACUUUUUAUAUUUAUGACUUAUUUAUUUACUAUGUUUGGGGGGAGUUCCCUUUUUACACUGUAUGAACUGGACGAGCCACUGUGCUGGACUGAAGUGUACAUUGGAUAUGGAGCAGCUGCAUUCACUUCUGUCUCUCUGACCAGUUUUUUGGGAGUUUACUUGUUUUCUAAAUGUCUCAAAGACAUUUACAUUGUAUUUAUUGGGAUAUUUUCUUACAUUGGAGGAAUUGUCAUGGCUGCCUUUGCCAAAACAACCCUGCUCAUGUUUUUAGUAAGAGUGCCAUCUUUAUUCUGCAUUAUGCCUAUUCCUGUUCUCCGAUCCAUGCUGUCAAAAGUGGUUCUCCCCAGUGAGCAGGGUGCUGUGUUUGCUUGUAUUGCCUGUUUAGAAAUUUUGACUGGCACUAUUUCACUUUCAGUCUUUAAUGUUAUCUAUGCAGCUACAGUUGCAUGGUUUUCAGGCUUUAGCUUCCUCUUGUCAGCCAGCCUGUGUCUAAUUCCACUGGGCGUACUGUGCUGGCUUCUGUGCACAAGCUGGAAUGAGGAGGACUUGGCUCUGCUUGUACCUGAAGAAGUAUCCAGCAUAGACAGCGUUGAUAGUUGAACAGAGGAGUCACCAACCAUUUGGCUUUUGUAAUCUGAUGUGCUGGGUCAAAGGCCAUUGUGUCACACUGACACCAUAGAGAUAAUUCAUGAGUUGCAGAUGAAAUCUAAAACUGGCCCUGUAGCACUAAGCACUGAAUUGAUAGCACUCUACAUCCAGUCUUUUUUUAGCACUUGAAUGAACCUAUCUCCUGUACUUAACUACGCAGAUAGGCCAGCAAUGGAGAUUUUAAUGCUGCUUUCAGCACGGAGAAAAAAAAUAAGAGAAACAGAAAUCAACAGAGAGGAGAAGUGACUUGCCCUGGGCAACUGUGCAAAUCAUGAAGAGCUCUAAACCUAGAAAUCAGUUUUUGUGUUGAUUCUUCAGCUUUUUCCUUGAGAUCUAUAGGCAGAAAGUAGCCAGAGUAUUAGCUUUUGGAAUGCGUAGCAUAGCAGAAGUGGGAAUAAUAAAAAGUGGGAAUAAACACCCUGUGAAAGAUCACUCCCAUGUGUUAUUUUACGAGAGAGUUUUAUAGCCAGAAUUGUCCUGAUCCCUGAAAGGAGAGAUAAGUUGUAUGUGACUAUCUUCCCCAAAAAGGAAUAGUUAGAAAAAUCAAAAUGUAUCAGGAGACAGAUUGUUAUUGCCAAGAAUACUUCUGCAGAGCUCCUCAGUGGCACUCUGCCAAAAAAUAUUAGUACGUCAUAGCAAUGCUAUCAUGGAUCCUUUUUGUUUGAAAGGCAGUGUUGUUUUCAUGAUGUGUAUCUUGACCAAUGAGAAGACUGAAUGGUCAAAUAAGGUAGAGUGAAGUUGGCACUGUCUGGCAGUCCAUAGAAUCACACAACAAAAAAAUGGGUUGAGUUGGAAUGGAGCUUACAGCCCACCCAGCCCCAGCCCCUGCCAUGGGCAGGGACACCUCCCAGCAGCUCAGGCCAUCCAGGACUGCAUCCAG